CCUACGGGGGGCAGCAGUAGGGAAUCUUCCACAAUGGGCGAAAGCCUGAUGGAGCAACGCCGCGUGGGUGAAGAAGGUCUUCGGAUCGUAAAACCCUGUUGUUAGAGAAGAAAGUGCGUGAGAGUAACUGUUCACGUUUCGACGGUAUCUAACCAGAAAGCCACGGCUAACUACGUGCCAGCAGCCGCGGUAAUACGUAGGUGGCAAGCGUUAUCCGGAUUUAUUUGGCGUAAAGGGAACGCAGGUGGUCUUUUAAGUCUGAUGUGAAAGCCUUCGGCUUAACCGGAGUAGUGCAUUGGAAACUGGGAGACUUGAGUGCAGAAGAGGCGAGUGGAACUCCAUGUGUAGCGGUGAAAUGCGUAGAUAUAUGGAAGAACACCAGUGGCGAAAGCGGCUCUCUGGUCUGUAACUGACGCUGAGGUUCGAAAGCGUGGGUAGCAAACAGGAUUAGAUACCCCAGUAGUC
Molecule: ribosomal RNA, 465 nt
Filed under: uncultured bacterium
Lineage: Bacteria
Description: partial 16S ribosomal RNA
Rfam family: Bacterial small subunit ribosomal RNA
Source: RNAcentral